Molecule: ribosomal RNA, 492 nt
Filed under: uncultured bacterium
Lineage: Bacteria
Description: partial 16S ribosomal RNA
Rfam family: Bacterial small subunit ribosomal RNA
Source: RNAcentral
AGUGAACGCUGGCGGUAGGCUUAACACAUGCAAGUCGAACGGCAGCACAGUAAGAGCUUGCUCUUACGGGUGGCGAGUGGCGGACGGGAGAGGAAUACAUCGGAAUCUACAUUUUCGGGGGGGAUAACGUAGGGAAACUUACGCUAAUACCGCAGACGAUCUACGGGUGAAAGGAGGGGAUCUUCUGACCUUGCGCGGUUGAAUGAGCCGAUGUCGGAUUAGCUAGUUGGCGGGGUAAUGGCCCACCAAGGCUCGGAUCCGUAGCUCGUGUGAGAGGAUGAUCAGCCACACUGGAACUUAGACACGGUCCAGACUCCUACGGGAGGCAGCAGUGGGGAAUAUGGGACAAAGGGCGCAAGCCUGAUCCAGUCAUACCGCGUGUGUGAAGGAGGCCUUCGGGUUGUAAAGCCCUUUUGUUGGGAAAGAAAAGCAGCAGGUUAAUACCCCGCUGUUCUGACGGUACCCAAAGAAUAAGCACCGGCUAACUUCGUG